CGCGCAGGUGGUUCCCUAAGCCCGGCGUGAAAGCCCCCGGCUCAACCGGGGAGGGUCGUCGGGGACUGGAGAACUUGAGGGCGGCAGGGGCUGGUGGAAUCCCCGGUGUAGUGGUGAAAUGCGUAGAGAUCGGGGGGAACACCCGUGGCGAAGGCGGCCAGCUGGGCCGACCCUGACACUGAGGCGCGAAGGCGUGGGGAGCGAACG
Molecule: ribosomal RNA, 207 nt
Filed under: uncultured bacterium
Lineage: Bacteria
Description: partial 16S ribosomal RNA
Rfam family: Bacterial small subunit ribosomal RNA
Source: RNAcentral